RNAcentral lists this ribosomal RNA (472 nucleotides) under uncultured bacterium. Its description in RNAcentral is "bacterial SSU rRNA". It matches the Rfam family "Bacterial small subunit ribosomal RNA", at positions 355 to 825 of the family's 1533-position model. The record is from RNAcentral.
UGGGGAAUAUUGCACAAUGGGCGCAAGCCUGAUCCAGCCAUGCCGCGUGUGUGAAGAAGGUCUUCGGAUUGUAAAGCACUUUAAGUUGGGAGGAAGGGCAGUUACCUAAUACGUAUCUGUUUUGACGUUACCGACAGAAUAAGCACCGGCUAACUCUGUGCCAGCAGCCGCGGUAAUACAGAGGGUGCAAGCGUUAAUCGGAAUUACUGGGCGUAAAGCGCGCGUAGGUGGUUUGUUAAGUUGGAUGUGAAAUCCCCGGGCUCAACCUGGGAACUGCAUUCAAAACUGACAAGCUAGAGUAUGGUAGAGGGUGGUGGAAUUUCCUGUGUAGCGGUGAAAUGCGUAGAUAUAGGAAGGAGCACCAGUGGCGAAGGCGACCACCUGGACUGAUACUGACACUGAGGUGCGAAAGCGUGGGGAGCAAACAGGAUUAGAUACCCCCGUAGUCCCUGAGCGGGCUGGCAAGGCGCAU